Passer domesticus (house sparrow) is the source of this 2176-nucleotide long non-coding RNA. RefSeq lists it as uncharacterized. NCBI's taxonomy places the organism in Eukaryota, Metazoa, Chordata, Aves, Passeriformes, Passeridae. The transcript has 3 exons. The record is from RefSeq and is a predicted model, not a curated record.
GCCGGGACUGCUCGUCCUCAAGAAGAAAAGGGACAGGGACAGGUCUCUUCAAUGUGUACAGAUGAUCUGAAUGGCCAGAGUGAGGGGGCCGGACUCUUUGUGUUGGUGCCCAGUGAGAGGAGAGGUGGCAGUGGGUAAACAUCAGAACACAGGGAAUGCUCUUUAAACAUAAGGCAAGACUAGUUUGUUAUCGUGAGGGUGGUCGAGCACUGGCAUAGGUUGCCCAGAGGACUGUGAAGUCUCCAUCCUUGCAGGUUCUCAAAACUUGCCUGGACACUAUCCUGGGUAGCCAGCUGUAUAGCUGGCUCUCCUUGAACAGGCAGAUUAGUUUGCACUGUUUUUAGAGGUCCUUUUUGUUCUCAGUAGUUUUCUCAUCCUGCAAAACUGUUGGACAGUAGCACGUUCACAUGGUGCUGGUGGCGACAGGUGGACCAAAACCCAAGGUGACUGGAAAAAGGAGUACCCAUCUUUAAAGAGCAUAGAAAAGAGGACCUUUCAAGCUACCAGCCUUUCAGUGUCACCUCCAUGCCUGGGAAGAUCACGGGGCAGAUCCUCCUGGAAGCUCUGCUAAGGCACCUGGGGGACAGGGAGCCAGUGCGGCUGCACCGAGGUGAAUAACUUCUGCGUUUGUCAGCAGUGGUGAUUAAAUUUCUUUCCUCCAGUCAGCUUUCCAGUUUGACAGACUUUGUCAGUGGUAUAAAACUGACCACUUGGUAUGCCGUGGGAACUUGAAGAGUGUAAAGUAAGACACAAGGAAUUUUGCAGUGCACGUGAUGGCAGCUGAAGAAGAAAAUAGGAAAAGGUAUGGCCAAAGUGAAAACUGGCUGAAUUUGUAUGCAGUAUCAGUCAGACCUGUGGGCAGAUCAGACACACAUAGCUCCAGUGAUCUCCAGUGAUCUCCAGUGAUCAGAGAGAUUGGGCAAUUGCCUGAAGGUCCCUGAUUUACAGUCAUGGAAUCUUAUGGGAAAUGGCCAUGUAAGAUUUCUCUGAGCCUGAAAUACCUUUUGCUUUAUUUGCGAUGGGAGGGUUGACAGCUGAGUAGUGAAGCAGCAGCAUGAUUUGCUCUUUUAGAUGGAAAAUUGAUAGAGGUAAAGUUGACACCUUCUAUCAGUACAGUACAACUGCAAAGCAUCCGUAAUCCAUUCAUCUCCCAGUAUCCAGUGUUUGCAGUUUUAAUGAGGAAUUUACAUUUUCAGAAAGAUUGGAGGUAGCAGGGCAUUCAGACAUGCAUCACCAUAAAUAUGUAUUUGAAUUCCACUGUAACUUUGGGAGGUAUUGGUGACAAAAUUUUGUUAGUUAUAUAAUACUAUCAGUGGAAUUAUUUAAUCUGAGGAUUCAUGAUUAACUGCUCCUGGUGAUGUUUCCAGAUAGCAUCAAGUCAUGAUAAUUUUAAAAUCUUGGCCACAAAGAUUGUGUUAAACAAGUACAUAGUACAUUCUUCCCUAGCCAGGAGUGAGAACACACCAGGCUUUAAAAUGCAACAUGAGGGAAGAUGGAAUAGAUUUCUCCCUUUUUCUUACUGCAAUGCAAUUUUAAUUGGUCUUUGAAUUUUUUAGCGUCUGAUGUAAUUCAUUCCAGGUUUAAUUAAUAGUUAGUCACCAUUGUUAUGGGAUUUAUUAGGUUAUCUUGGAAUUUCACUUGGAAUAUGAUUCCUAAGAGGUGCUUCUGUGCAGAGUGCUUGGUGCUUCACUGCUGCAUUUGGGUACAGUGGAAAUACUUGGUUUACAUAUGCACCAUGGAAGUGUGCUAAUGGAGGAUUUCAAGUCACUGUAUUCUGAAUACUCCUGCUAUCAGUAGCCAUUAUAUUUUUGUCUUUACAGGAAUUAUAUGAGUACUCAUAUCAACUUUUCAUUUUUAGUUUUCUGUAAACCUGAAAUUUUUGUGGUUUGGGGAAGACUGAAAUAGCAUUUUGGAGGAUGUACUGUGAGAGGAUUUUAAAGAUGAAACAGAUGUGUUGUCAUUCCCUUUGAAAGUGGCAUUGUAUUUUUAAUAGAAAAUUAAAGGAGAAGUAUAUGUUGUCUGUUAAUAAACUUGUACUGAGGUUGUCAUGAUAAGUCUUACAGCUAGAGGAUGAACACCCUCUUUCCUGUAAACAGUCUUUUUAAAAUUAUUAUUUCAACCUAUAUAUUGUUGUGUUGUAAAUUUCUCUUUUCAUAAACCAAUAAAUGUUGUAGGG